Molecule: long non-coding RNA, 521 nt
Organism: Mauremys reevesii (Reeves's turtle)
Lineage: Eukaryota; Metazoa; Chordata; Testudines; Geoemydidae
Exons: 3
Source: RefSeq, a predicted model, not a curated record
CUAUGAGCCACCUACCAAUGUGAUGCGGACAUGAAAAAGGCUAACGCAAUCCUAGGAUUCAUCAGGCAAGGUUAUUCACAGACCAGUGGGUUUUCCGGCUAAUACAGGUCCUGAUGCUCUUCUGUCUUUACACAUGGUAUUCAUCAUAUCUUGACAAGAAAAGACCUUCAGUCUACAAAUAACCUUCACUGAAGUAAGACAUGAGAUGUGCUAUCAUCAGACUAACUGCCAAACUUAGCUUCAAAAGCCAUUUUUCACAUCUAAGGCCCGAUUCUGCCAGCUAUUCCAUGCGAGCAGACUCCUGCAACCACAUGGAAUCACCACCAUUGUAAGGUUCUGCAUACAUGAAGCAGUUUUCAGCAUCAGGACCCAGACGUGCAAAACAAAUGAGAGAAAAGAAAGACGCCCAAUGAGCACAUGUACUGCUGCUACUUCACUUCUGUUGGAACAUUUGUAAGAAAGAGAAUCAUCUGUUCUGAUCUGAUAUAUUGUACAUUGUUUUUCAAACCAGAGCCUAUUUU